This 425-nucleotide ribosomal RNA is filed under the name uncultured bacterium. RNAcentral describes it as "partial 16S ribosomal RNA". It matches the Rfam family "Bacterial small subunit ribosomal RNA", at positions 354 to 796 of the family's 1533-position model. The record is from RNAcentral.
GUGGGGAAUAUUGGACAAUGGGCGCAAGCCUGAUCCAGCCAUGCCGCGUGAGUGAUGAAGGCCUUAGGGUUGUAAAGCUCUUUCGCCGACGAAGAUAAUGACGGUAGUCGGAGAAGAAGCCCCGGCUAACUUCGUGCCAGCAGCCGCGGUAAUACGAAGGGGGCUAGCGUUGUUCGGAAUCACUGGGCGUAAAGCGCACGUAGGCGGACAUUUAAGUCAGGGGUGAAAGCCUGGAGCUCAACUCCAGAACUGCCCUUGAUACUGGGUGUCUCGAGUCCGGAAGAGGUAAGUGGAACUGCGAGUGUAGAGGUGAAAUUCGUAGAUAUUCGCAAGAACACCAGUGGCGAAGGCGGCUUACUGGUCCGGUACUGACGCUGAGGUGCGAAAGCGUGGGGAUCGAACAGGAUUAGAAACCCUUGUAGUCC